Long non-coding RNA from Cynocephalus volans (Philippine flying lemur), 1474 nucleotides. RefSeq lists it as uncharacterized. The transcript has 6 exons. The record is from RefSeq and is a predicted model, not a curated record. Lineage: Eukaryota; Metazoa; Chordata; Mammalia; Dermoptera; Cynocephalidae.
GAGCGAUAAGGGGCGGGAGGAGACAGUCGUCGCUGCGGAGCCGGGGCUGGGGCGCUGACCCGUCCCACGGGCCCAGCGGGCCUUGAAGGCAGCGAGAGAAAGCAGCGGCCACGAGACGGCGGGGAGGCUGGUAAUCAGGGGCCGAGCCGGCCCUCGUGGGGAGCUGGGCCAGCUGGCAGGCCAAAGCGCAGGAGACAGCCUGAGAGGAGCUCGAAGGAGGAAGCAGCAAGAGGAGGAGAUUUCUGUGCAACAAAAAGUGCCAAACACAAGACCUCAACAGAUUGGAUUGUACCCGCCUACACUGAUGAGGUUGGAUCUUCUUUACUCAGUCCACUGAUUCAAAUGCCAGUCUCUGAAGUAACCAGCCAUCUGGGUAUCCCUUACCCAGUGAAGUGGACACCUAAAAUUAACAUCAUCUGGGGGACCACCUUCCAAGUUGUAUGAGCAGCCUUAUGGAGAGUCCCAUGUAGUGAGGAACUGAAAUCUCCUACCAACAGGAACAUUGAUGAGGAAAGUGGAGAUUCAGAAAGAUGAUGAUCCUCGGUUCAAGGUCUCAGAGCUACUUCUUCCUUGUCUGUGCCAGGAAUGAGAAUCUCCAUGGACUUGACCACGUAAGGCAGUGACUGGAUGGAGAGGAUCCUGGGGACAGGGCAGAGGGGAAGAAAAGGAAAAAGAGAAGCAGACAAGAGUGAAAAAGAAUUCUGGCACCCAUCUGAUGCUGUCUCUGUACAUAGGUAAUCUCAUGGAAAAAGUAAAGAUGUUUUUGCACCAUCCUCCGGACACUGUGCUUGUGAUUGAUUAAUUAGAGGACUGUUUUUUCUGGAGAUACACUGUAUAUAUCUUCCAGACAUUCUGUGAGCAAAAGUGGCAUCAUGGGCCAGGCUUUUUGCAGGACUGAAGGCAUGAAGAAAUGAGAAGGAGCGAUUCCCGGAAUCCAGAGACAGAGAGGGCUGUGUGAUGCCACAGGGAGAAGCUUGGGAAAUAACUAACCCAACCUCUGUAUCCUCCCUCCCUCUGAUCUCCUUAGGCUCUGCAUUGGCCUAACUCAAUGGGAAGCCCAAUGGGAAAGGGAGCGAGGUGACAGAGUCCAUACAUGUCAGUCUGUCAGGGGAGAAAGCAGGAUGAAACAAGAGGAAUGGAUAUGCAGGGCAAAUGGAAAAUAUUCAGCACAGUGCUGGUAAAUUUGUUCAUCCUGUCUUUGUAGGGAAGCAAUACAAGAAGUCAAAUUAUAACCAGGGGGUUGCUCAGGUAGUAUGAAAUCACAGUGAAGAAAAUUAGUUGGCUAAUAUCAAGUCUGAUGUUCUAAUACAUUUCUGACAGGGAUCUUGCUGAGGUACUGGAAGUUUGAGCUGGUAUGUCAAGAGAUUUACUGCUUCUUUACAUAGUCAUGCGAAUAAUUUCCUUUCUACAAUUCAUUCACUCUUCAUUCUUGGGAUACAUACUGUGGCACUUUCAGAAAUCUUCAAAUUGCAAA